CCCCCCUCAGGAUCACACCUGGAGAGUUUCCAGUACUCUACCAGUCACGACUACAGGAGGGACAGUCAAGCAGAGGCCUACCCAUUCCAUUCCUAGCUUGGCCAGUAGUUAGAGAGUGGAAGGCAGUCUGUUACAAGU
Small nucleolar RNA from Ornithorhynchus anatinus (platypus), 138 nucleotides. NCBI's taxonomy places the organism in Eukaryota, Metazoa, Chordata, Mammalia, Monotremata, Ornithorhynchidae. The record is from RefSeq and is a predicted model, not a curated record.